UUAGUCUUUUAAUUGAGGGCUGGAAUGAAAGAGUAAACCAAGAAAAAAAUCUUUUUUAUUUAAAAAAUGAAGUUUACUUUUUAGUAAAAAGGCUAAAAUUUUUCUUAAAGACGAGAAGACCCUAUAAAACUUUAUAUUACUUUUUAUUUGACUGAGAAAGUAAUAUUUUGCUGGGGUGGCAGGGAAAAUUGACUUUUUCUAAGUAAGAAGAAAUAAGUUUUUUAAUAUCCAAAAGUUUUGAAAAAGGAAUAAGUUACUUUAGGGAUAACAGCUUAAUUUGCUUUGAAAGUUCUAAUUGACAAGUAAGUUUAGGACCUCGAUGUUGAAUUAAAAUACCUUUAUUUGUGAAAAAGC
Molecule: ribosomal RNA, 354 nt
Filed under: Hottentotta hottentotta
Lineage: Eukaryota; Metazoa; Arthropoda; Arachnida; Scorpiones; Buthidae
Description: partial large subunit ribosomal RNA
Source: RNAcentral